UCCCGCGUGACGCAAUUGGUUAGCGUGUCAGACUUUUACAACAAAGUGAAUCUGAAAGUUACGAGUUCGAGUCUCGUCGUGGGAG
Molecule: non-coding RNA, 85 nt
Organism: Fusarium redolens
Lineage: Eukaryota; Fungi; Ascomycota; Sordariomycetes; Hypocreales; Nectriaceae
Source: the annotation of a RefSeq genome assembly